GUACGAGAGGACCGGAGUGGACGAACCUCUGGUGUUCCGGUUGUCACGCCAGUGGCAUUGCCGGGUAGCUAUGUUCGGAAAAGAUAACCGCUGAAAGCAUCUAAGCGGGAAACUUGCCUCAAGAUGAGAUCUCACUGGGAACUUGAUUCCCCUGAAGGGCCGUCGAAGACUACGACGUUGAUAGGCUGGGUGUGUAAGCGUUGUGAGGCGUUGAGCUAACCAGUACUAAUUGCCCGUGAGGCUUGACCAU
Molecule: ribosomal RNA, 250 nt
Filed under: Klebsiella pneumoniae
Lineage: Bacteria; Pseudomonadati; Pseudomonadota; Gammaproteobacteria; Enterobacterales; Enterobacteriaceae
Description: partial 23S ribosomal RNA
Rfam family: Bacterial large subunit ribosomal RNA
Source: RNAcentral